GAUGAACGCUAGCUACAGGCUUAACACAUGCAAGUCGCGGGGCAGCAUGAAUUUAGCUUGCUAAAUUUGAUGGCGACCGGCGCACGGGUGAGUAACGCGUAUCCAACCUUCCCCUGUCCACGGGAUAGCCCGUCGAAAGGCGGAUUAAUACCGUAUGAGGUCACACGAUGGCAUCAGACUGUGACGAAAGGUUUGGCGGACAGGGAUGGGGAUGCGUCCGAUUAGGUAGUCGGCGGGGUAACGGCCCACCGAGCCGACGAUCAGUAGGGGUUCUGAGAGGAAGGUCCCCCACAUUGGAACUGAGACACGGUCCAAACUCCUACGGGAGGCAGCAGUGAGGAAUAUUGGUCAAUGGGCGAGAGCCUGAACCAGCCAAGUAGCGUGCAGGAAGACGGCCCCUAUGGGUUGUAAACUGCUUUUAUAGGGGAAUAAAGUGAGCCACGUGUGGUUUUUUGCAUGUACCCUAUGAAUAAGGACCGGCUAAUUCCGUG
RNAcentral lists this ribosomal RNA (491 nucleotides) under uncultured bacterium. Its description in RNAcentral is "bacterial SSU rRNA". It matches the Rfam family "Bacterial small subunit ribosomal RNA", at positions 28 to 507 of the family's 1533-position model. The record is from RNAcentral.